GGCUAAUCUGCCCUUAGGACGAGAACAACCCCGGGAAACUGGGGCUAAUUCUCGAUAGGUGAAGAACUCUGGAAUGAGUCUUCGCCAAAAGGACGCCAAGGUUAUGCUCUUUGGUGUCGCCCAAGGAUGAGGCCGCGACCGAUCAGGUUGUUGGUGAGGUAAUGGCUCACCAAGCCUUUUACCGGUGCGGGCCGUGAGAGCGGGAGCCCGGAGAUGGGCACUGAGACAAGGGCCCAGGCCCUACGGGGCGCAGCAGUCGCGAAAACUUUGCAAUACACGAAAGUGUGACAGGGCUAUCCCGAGUGCCAUCCGCUGAGGAAGGCUUUUACCCAGUCUAGAACGCUGGGGGAAUAAGGAGAGGGCAAGUCUGGUGUCAGCCGCCGCGGUAAUACCAGCUCUUCGAGUGGUGUGGAUGUUUAUUGGGCCUAAAGCAUCCGUAGCUGGCUAAGUUAGUCCCUUGUUAAAUCCACCGAAUUAAUCGUUGGAUCGCGGGGGAUACUGCUUGGCUAGGGGACGAGAGAGGCAGACGGUAUUUUCGGGGUAGGGGUGAAAUCCUAUAAUCCCGGGAAGACCACCAGUGGCGAANGCUGUCUGCUAGAACGCGCCCGACGGUGAGGGAUGAAAGCUGGGGGAGCGAACCGGAUUAGAUACCCGGGGUAGUCCCAGCUGUAAACGAUGCUCGCUAGGUGUUUGGACGGCCACGUGCCGUUCUAGUGCCGCAGGGAAGCUGUUAAGCCUGCCGAAUGGGGAGUACGAUCGCAAGAUUGAAACUUAA
Molecule: ribosomal RNA, 775 nt
Filed under: uncultured archaeon
Lineage: Archaea
Description: bacterial SSU rRNA
Rfam family: Archaeal small subunit ribosomal RNA
Source: RNAcentral